RNAcentral lists this transfer RNA (72 nucleotides) under Microcaldota archaeon. Its description in RNAcentral is "Candidatus Micrarchaeota archaeon (hot springs metagenome) tRNA-Thr". It matches the Rfam family "tRNA". From Rfam's summary of the family: Transfer RNA (tRNA) molecules are approximately 80 nucleotides in length. Their secondary structure includes four short double-helical elements and three loops (D, anti-codon, and T loops). The record is from RNAcentral. Lineage: Archaea; Nanobdellati; Microcaldota.
GCCUCAGUAGCUCAGUGGUAGAGCGCCUGUCUCGUAAACAGGAGGUCGGGAGUUCAAAUCUCCCCUGGGGCU